Molecule: ribosomal RNA, 352 nt
Filed under: uncultured bacterium
Lineage: Bacteria
Description: SSU rRNA
Rfam family: Bacterial small subunit ribosomal RNA
Source: RNAcentral
AGAACGAACGCUGGCGGCGUGGAUAAGACAUGCAAGUCGAACGCGACUUACAGCGAUAGCAAUAUCAUUGUAAGUUGAGUGGCGAAAGGGUGCGUAACACGUGGGAAUUUACCAAAAAGUGGGGAAUAGCUCGACGAAAGUCGAAUUAAUACCGCAUGUGAUCGAAAGAUCAAAGCCGGGGACCGCAAGGCCUGGCGCUUUUUGAGAAGCCCGCGGCCCAUCAGCUAGUUGGCGGGGUAAAAGCCCACCAAGGCUAUGACGGGUAGCUGGUCUGAGAGGACGACCAGCCACACUGGAACUGAGACACGGUCCAGACACCUACGGGUGGCAGCAGUCGAGAAUUUUUCACAAU